UCGCGCGUGGGCGGGGGAGCGCACUUCUCUCCGAGUAGGACGUCGCAACCCGUUGGAUGUCGGUCUAAGGUCCGGUGGAGAGCCUGUGCCGCGGGUUCGCCCCGCGGUGCAGAUCCCCGGUGUCCCGACCGACUGUCCGACGGUUUUGAACGCCUGGAACUGGCCCGCGCGCUUUUAACUAAGCUCGCGCUCGUACCUCGUGCAAGUUGUCGCGCUGAACUCCGUGCGGACUUGUCCGCCGCGAGCCGGCCGGCGCUGUUGGCGCGGGGAUUUCUCGAGCAGCGGCCUCCUCCAGUUUGCGACGCUCACAACUGGGCGGCCCACCCGGCCCGUCUUGAAACACGGACCAAGGAGUCUAACAUGUGCGCGAGUCAUUGGGCCCCACUAAACCCAAAGGCGUAUUGAACGAAAAGGCCGGACUCGUGCCGGCCGAGGGAAGAUGGAGGUUCGCUCGCGAGCCUCCCGCAUUCCCGGGGCGUCUCGUCUUACCGCAGGCUUGCCGGCGGAAAGUGAGGCGCACCAAGAGCGCACACGUUGGGACCCGAAAGAUGGUGAACUAUGCCUGGCCAGGACGAAGUCAGGGGAAACCCUGAUGGAGGUCCGUAGCGAUUCUGACGUGCAAAU
RNAcentral lists this ribosomal RNA (624 nucleotides) under Ameletus sp. BCOD-2008. Its description in RNAcentral is "eukaryotic LSU rRNA". The stretch from base 346 to 624 matches the Rfam family "Eukaryotic large subunit ribosomal RNA", at positions 665 to 898 of the family's 3401-position model. Lineage: Eukaryota; Metazoa; Arthropoda; Insecta; Ephemeroptera; Ameletidae. The record is from RNAcentral.